GUGUCAGCCGCCGCGGUAAUACGGAGGAUCCGAGCGUUAUCCGGAUUUACUGGGUUUAAAGGGUGCGUAGGCGGACGCCUAAGUCAGCGGUGAAAUGCGGGGGCUCAACCUUCGAACCGCCGUUGAUACUGGGCGUCUUGGAUUCGGUCGAGGCGGGCGGAAUGCGACAUGUAGCGGUGAAAUGCUUAGAUAUGUCGCAGAACGCCGAUUGCGAAGGCAGCUCGCCGGGCCGACAUCGACGCUGAGGCACGAAAGCGUGGGGAUCGAACAGGAUUAGAUACCCCCGUAGUCC
RNAcentral lists this ribosomal RNA (292 nucleotides) under uncultured bacterium. Its description in RNAcentral is "partial 16S ribosomal RNA". It matches the Rfam family "Bacterial small subunit ribosomal RNA", at positions 505 to 796 of the family's 1533-position model. The record is from RNAcentral.